This 163-nucleotide ribosomal RNA is filed under the name Helixanthera parasitica. RNAcentral's name for it is "5.8S ribosomal RNA". It matches the Rfam family "5.8S ribosomal RNA". Rfam says of the family: 5.8S ribosomal RNA (5.8S rRNA) is a component of the large subunit of the eukaryotic ribosome. It is transcribed by RNA polymerase I as part of the 45S precursor that also contains 18S and 28S rRNA. Lineage: Eukaryota; Viridiplantae; Streptophyta; Magnoliopsida; Santalales; Loranthaceae. The record is from RNAcentral.
ACAGUGACUCUCGGCAACGGAUAUCUCAACUCUCGCAUCGAUGAAGAAUGCAUCAAAAUGUGUUACCUGGUGUGAAUURCAGAAUCCCGUGAAUCAUCGAGUCUUUGAACGCAAGUUGCGCCCGAGGCCUUUCGGCCGAGGGCACGCCUGCCUGGGCGUCACG